This 504-nucleotide ribosomal RNA is filed under the name uncultured bacterium. RNAcentral describes it as "partial 16S ribosomal RNA". It matches the Rfam family "Bacterial small subunit ribosomal RNA", at positions 28 to 507 of the family's 1533-position model. The record is from RNAcentral.
GACGAACGCUGGCGGCGUGCUUAACACAUGCAAGUCGAACGGUGAAGCGCUUGCCUUUUUGGUGGGUGUGGAUGAGUGGCGAACGGGUGAGUAACACGUGAGUAACCUGCCCUCUUCUUCUGGAUAGCCUCAUGAAAGUGGGGCUAAUACGGGGUAUUCCGGGUCUGUCGCAUGGCGGGUUUGGGAAAGAUUGCGCCUUUGGGUGUUUUCGGUGGGGGAUGGGCUCGCGGCCUAUCAGCUUGUUGGUGGGGUGAUGGCCUACCAAGGCGGUGACGGGUAGCCGGCCUGAGAGGGUGGACGGCCACACUGGGACUGAGACACGGCCCAGACUCCUGCGGGAGGCAGCAGUGGGGAAUAUUGCACAAUGGGCGCAAGCCUGAUGCAGCGACGCCGCGUGAGGGAUGGAGGCCUUCGGGUUGUGAACCUCUUUCGCCAGUGAAGCAGGCCUGCUCCUGUGUGGGUGGGUUGACGGUAGCUGGAUAAGAAGCGCCGGCUAACUACGUG